GAUGAACGCUGGCGGCGUGCCUAAUACAUGCAAGUCGAGCGAACAGACGAGGAGCUUGCUCCUCUGACGUUAGCGGCGGACGGGUGAGUAACACGUGGAUAACCUACCUAUAAGACUGGGAUAACUUCGGGAAACCGGAGCUAAUACCGGAUAAUAUAUUGAACCGCAUGGUUCAAUAGUGAAAGACGGUUUUGCUGUCACUUAUAGAUGGAUCCGCGCCGCAUUAGCUAGUUGGUAAGGUAACGGCUUACCAAGGCAACGAUGCGUAGCCGACCUGAGAGGGUGAUCGGCCACACUGGAACUGAGACACGGUCCAGACUCCUACGGGAGGCAGCAGUAGGGAAUCUUCCGCAAUGGGCGAAAGCCUGACGGAGCAACGCCGCGUGAGUGAUGAAGGUCUUCGGAUCGUAAAACUCUGUUAUUAGGGAAGAACAAAUGUGUAAGUAUCUAUGCACGUCUUGACGGCACCUAAUCAGAAAGCCACGGCUAACUACGUG
This 497-nucleotide ribosomal RNA is filed under the name uncultured bacterium. Its description in RNAcentral is "partial 16S ribosomal RNA". It matches the Rfam family "Bacterial small subunit ribosomal RNA", at positions 28 to 507 of the family's 1533-position model. The record is from RNAcentral.